RNA transcript from Octopus bimaculoides (California two-spot octopus), 4989 nucleotides. RefSeq lists it as uncharacterized. Lineage: Eukaryota; Metazoa; Mollusca; Cephalopoda; Octopoda; Octopodidae. The record is from RefSeq and is a predicted model, not a curated record.
CAUACAUAGACAAACACAUACACACUAUAAACACAUACAUGGCGGUUAAUAAACUGAUUCAAAGUCACACGCUCACACCUGAAUACGGACGCACACACUAUCGAAAGUAAAUCUACACCAUAGUCACUACCUCUGGACGAAGGGGGUUCUGUACAUGGUCACUGGAACCGGCAAAAAAAUAUCAGUGAAAUAUCGCUCAUACUGUGCACUGGGUGCGUUGGACACAGAAAAUAAUAGCGUUUAAGGAACACUGGCUGAAAUAGUGACGGAAUGCGGGUGGAGUAACGUCUUGAUUACACGGGUGCUCAAUCGGAGUCGACUCGGGGUUAAAAUAACAAACAAACAAACACGCACGCGUGCGUCUUCUCGCCUCCCACACACAGACAUACAUGCACAUUCACAGACACUGGUGCACGUGAAUCACCUGCGAAAAUAAAAACUCAAAAAUGCCAGAAAUGUAAGCAGUUAGAAUAACCGAAAAUAAGCUCCUACGGCCUAGAAUACAUACAUACAUACAUACAUACAUACACGCACAUACAGGUACACACAGGUAGAUAAAUUAAUAUUUAAGUAAACCUUAAAUACAUAAGGAAAUGUAAUUUCAAUAAAAAAGAAAAUACGUGAACGCAACUUCUUCCAAAUAUAAUUGUGACUAAACGUAACUUGUAGCGAAAAAAGAAUCUACAUAAACACACACAUACACAUACACACACACAGAGAGACACGCACACACACACAUAUACACAAUAGACACCUGCGAGAAAAGGGGAAAACAGCAGAAAAACGCUGAUGAAUUAACGUGCAGAAAACAGACUAAAUCCGACGACGACAAGAACCGCCGCUGCAGCCGCCGCCACCACCACAUGUCAAAAACACACCUGCAACCCACCCCCGCCACUUCAAAAUAUAUAUACACAUACCGACAGACAUAUAUAAACAUAUGCAGGUCUGUGCAUAUGCACAAUACAACAGCAGUAUCGACGAGCCAGAGAUGAAGCCUGUUCAUUUUACAUGCUAGUAAUAACUGGUGAUGACAGAAAGUAUAUCGCGUUAAGAAAGGAAGGACAGAGCGGAUAAUACGACUCUAGAUAUUUGGAAUAACAACAACAACAAAGAAGUUUAAAGAGGAGAUGGCCAUACUGGAGUACUUUUGAUCAUGUGUCUGCUCAGCUACGGCUGACCUGGGGCUCAUCGAUAUCGAUAAAUUCGAACAUUAACACAUACAUACAUAUGCAACACAAGUCUCAAUAAAUUCACACGCACACACGCACACACACACACACACACAGGGGACAUAUGUACACAUACUAACUCAUACCGAGACAGACGACAACAGUUAUCACAAGUAUAUAAACACACACACCGCUAAACAGACAAGACAUACAUUUACAUACAUACACACUCACACACAAACACACACAUACACUCACAGGCAAUACACAUUUCCCCAUCCCUCAAAUAUAUAAACAUACAUACAUACAUACAUACAUACAUACACACAUAUAUAUAUAUAUGUAUGUAUGUAUAUAUAUAUAUUUGUAUAUUAUAUUAUAUACACUCAUUACAGCACCGUUAUUAACCAGAGCUCCUUACGUUGGUUCUACACAGAUAUUCAGACAUACACACUCACACAAAUAUAUACACCCGCACACAUAUACACAUAUACAUGCAUACAUACACUACCACAGAGCAACAUAGAUGGACAAAUACUCACACAUAACGACGUACACUAACACACACACAAACGCACACACACACACACACAUGAUACCAUUAACACAGUCUGUGAUAAGGCUGCACCAACAGCACCACCAGCAGUGAAUAUGUCUUACUGGUUACUACCAUCUGUACAAACUUCCAUCGCCACCAUCACCACCAACCACAACCAAGCCGCAGCCACUGUUGCAGCUGGUGGUGACGGGGGUUGCCGCCGCCGCCGUCGUUGUUGUUGUUGUUUCCUCUUCUUCUCUUACCUCUCCUACUCCUUUCUCUUCUUGUUCAGAUUCUUGUUAUUGAUCGCUGUAGUAUAGUAGUCACAACAGCAGUAACAGUUACAACAACAACAACAACAGCAACAACAACAAAUACAUCAGUAGUAGCAGUGGUAGCAGUAGCAGCAGCUGUUAUAGUACAAGUGGUGGGGCUGAUAGCGGAAGCAAAAGGCGGCGGCACAGACGGCGGCAGCACUAAUAACAACAGUAGUUGUAGUAUUAGCCGUAGUAUUAAUAGCAGUAUUAGAAGUAGUAGUAGUAGUUGUAGUAGUAGUAGUAGUAGUAGUAGUAGUAGUAGUAGUAGUAGUAGGGGCUCUAUUGUGAUCGGAGAAGGUGCAGCGGUAACGACAACAGCAACACGAAGAAUAUUUAUUUUUUUCAAAUAAGGAAAAGAAGAAAAAAACAAAACAAAAGGAAAACAAAAACACAAAGCAAAAAAAAAAAAAGAGCCGCUGUUGAAACCCUUUUCUCAUCAUCAUCAUCACCAUCAUCAUCAUCAUCAUCGUUAUAUACGUUGUUGUUGUCACCAUCGUCGUCGUCGUCGUAGCAACCACCGACAACAACAACAACCUUAACCUUAACCUUAACAACGUCCAUAACGUCGACAAGAAAACAACAACAACAACAACAACAACGGGAACUACAACAACUACCACCACUACCACUACUACCACCACCACUACUACUACUACUACUACCACUACCACUACCACUACCACUACUACCACUACUACUACUGCAAGAGCAGAAGGAACUUACUACGAGGGUACCUGAGACGGAAAACGCUAAAGGUAGAGCAAUCACGACCAUCAUCAUCAUCAUCAUCGUCAUCAUCAUCAUUAUCAUCAUCAUCAUCAUCGUCAUCGUCAUCGUCAUUAACAACAACAACAACAACAACAACAACAAAAGCAAUACUCAUAAUUUGCAGUGGUUUCACUGGCUGCAAUAAAGAAAAGAAAAGCAAAAGGAAGAAGAACAACAAAAAACACAGCAGAAGCUGUUGUACACGACCACAAUAACAAACAACAGCAACACGAAGAACAACCGCAACUAUAACCAGUAGUAGUAGUAGUAGUGGUAGUGGUGGUGGUAGUAGUAGUAGUAGUAGUAGUAGUAGUAGUAGCGAGAGCAGUAGCAGCCAGCAGCAGCAGUAGGGAACCGCGCGGAGUGUUGAAUGAAAAAAAAAAGAUGUCUUAUCAAAGGCGGACGCUACCACCUCCAUAUUAUCCGUUUAGGUUUAACAAAACCUAUUUAGAUUAUCGGUAUCGAUACGAUCCACAAUAUGAAACCAAAGACAAUGGACCUUUUAGCAUUUUCGACAACACUGCAGAUCAACCUUCAGACACUGUCAUCAUCACAGAUCGCUCUAUAGCUGGUUGUGUGUGCUUGCUCAACUUCGUUCUGCUGUUAGCCUUAUGUUGUGUGAAGGCAAAAGACAAAAAACUUUUCCGAUUACAUCUAGUCAAUUUGACACUAAUCAGCAUCUUUACAGGUGUCGUUAUAUUAGCCUAUGCCUUGUUCGUGAAGGUGCAAGGUGUAAACCGUUUUGAUAAAUUGACUUGCAAAAUAUUCACCUUUGCCAAGUCGGUCCUCAAUGAUGCUUUGCCUCUUUGCCUUCUCGAAAUACACCUUGACCGCUUCUUCUGUCUGAUAUCUCCGGACACUUACCGCCAUCCGGUACAUCGCGCUAUAGGUGCCAUCAUGGUUUUCAUGCCUUGGGUCGUUGGUAUGGCCAUGACACUGCCUGAAGUCAUAAUGCAAGAUGUCACGUUACCCCUUGCAAAUGAUCGCUCGUUGUUUGGUUGUAAACUUAACGACUCUACCAACAUGCAUCAUUUGACACAGAUAGUUCGCUACAUUCCGUCAGGCCUAGUGGUAAUCAGCUUUCUACUGACGCUUAUUGCUGUCAUAGUACUUCUCUGUCCACAUUGCUCGCCAGACAGGGACGACCGGGGUUCAUUAUUGAACUCAAUGGUUGCUCUCCUUCUGGUCGAUGUAUUCUUUUUCCUUAUGCAAAUGAUUACGCGAACCAUAAGUCUUGUGGCAGCCAUCUGUCCAACGGGGGAGUGUACACGAGGAUAUAUCUACAUAAUUCACCAAUCAUUACUUUCAAAAUGGUUACACAGUGCUAAUCCAGGUCUAAAUCCGAUUCUUUGGUUGUGUGAUCGAGAUAUUCGACGUGGUUAUCAAGCUCUGUGCUGCCUGGAGUGUAUUACCAAGAAGAAGAGACGUACGGGUUAGGCAGCUCAAACCGAUCCUGCAAAUAUUGACGGCACACAAGGCCUGAAAUUGUAGGAGCGGGGACUAGUCGAUUACAUCGACCCCAGUGCUCCACUAGUGCUUUGUUUUAUCGACCCCGAAAGGAUGAAAGGCAUUAUUCGUUAUGCUUCCAUUAUUGGUUGCAUAUUCUGGUGAACUAAAUCUGCUAACAUUAUGAAGUAACUCCAACGCCCCAGAAACAGAUGUCGGACUUUCUAACACCAUAUCUUCUCCUCUUUAAUUUAUUCUGUAUCGGAGCCGAACGCCUCAAUACUAUGGUGCCUAGCAACGGUGCGCCCCCACUACUUGGCUCAGGCACAGAAGUGUCUCCUGCGGGCAGCUACUAAAGAAAAAAACAAACAAACAUAACUAAAGACAAAUACGGCCAGUCACAGAAAUUUCCGAUAAUAAAAAAAAAUACCACUCGAAGUUCGAUUUUUAUUCAAUUCAGUUCAAUAAAGAAAGCAGAAAGAAGAAAAGAGGAAAUAAAAAGGAAGAAAGAAAGAAAGAAAGAAAGAACGAAAGCUAGGAAAGAAAAGAAAAGAAAAGAAAAGAAAGAAUGAAAGAAAGUAGAAAAGAAUGGAAGAGACAUAAGAAAAUAAUAAGCUGACGGUAAGAAUUGAAGAAAGUAAAGUAAAGUAACCAGACGAGGUACUGGGAAAGCGAAAUGGAGAAACGAAAAUAAAAUGAAGAGCAAAGAUAUAAAAAAAACAAAAUGUUAUAUAUAUAUAUUAUACAU